RNAcentral lists this long non-coding RNA (574 nucleotides) under Vitis vinifera (wine grape). RNAcentral describes it as "long non-coding RNA (VVIN_LNC000338)". Lineage: Eukaryota; Viridiplantae; Streptophyta; Magnoliopsida; Vitales; Vitaceae. The record is from RNAcentral.
GUGAUAAACGGAAUGAUUACAUUUAAUGGUAAAACCAUAACCGAAAUUGAAGCAAAUUUGCAAAUUUGCUUAAUACCCUAAUCACCAAUUAUUUCCAUCUUAUUUGAACUAUACCAAUUAUAAUUUCUUUUUACAAAUCUAUAUUCCAUUUUUACCUUCGCCAUUUUCAUUUAUUUUGUCAUUUCCAUAUCAACCAAAAGUUAAUAACACGGUCCUACUUUCCCGCUACAAAUACCAGCCAUAUCUCCCCUGCCUUUCAAAUCUACAAUGGCAACGAUCGGGAAGCCGGAAUCAGAGGCGGCAGCCUUCGUCGACGGGAAGGGAACUGACGCCCCCGGAGUGAAAUUGCCGGAAUCUGACCCCUCCGCCGCCGAAUCAGUGAAUCAGACACCCAAAUCUGGCACAGAUAUUUCGACGUUACCAGUGCUCACUCGUCCGCCGAUCAACCGUCGCUCUCCGCUUCAAGCCCGAGGGCCCGAGAUCCGGCGACCGUGAGAUCGCGUACGUCAACCACAUGACCAGUCCGAUGAGGACCCAUCCUCUUUAUUAGUUUGUGUUCUCACUCAAGAGCUUG